RNAcentral lists this transfer RNA (63 nucleotides) under Melophagus ovinus. Its description in RNAcentral is "tRNA-Arg". The record is from RNAcentral. Lineage: Eukaryota; Metazoa; Arthropoda; Insecta; Diptera; Hippoboscidae.
GAAUAUGAAGUGAUUAAUUACAUUUAGUUUCGACCUAAAACUUGGUAUUUUUACCCUUAUUCU